CCUACGGGUGGCAGCAGUGAGGAAUAUUGGUCAAUGGUCGGGAGACUGAACCAGCCAAGCCGCGUGAGGGAUGAAGGUACAGAGUAUCGUAAACCUCUUUUGUCAGGGAACAAAGGCGGGGACGUGUCCCCGGAUGAGUGUACCUGAAGAAAAAGCAUCGGCUAACCCCGUGCCAGCAGCCGUGGUAAUACGGAGGAUGAGAGCGUGAUCCGGUUGUAGGGGGUUAAAAGGGUGCGCAGGCGGUCUGUUACGUCAGAGGUCAAAGCCCGGGGCUCAACCCCGGCCCGCCGUUGAAACUGGCAGUCUCGAGUUGGAGAGAGGUAUGCGGAAUGCGCGGUGUAGCGGUGAAAUGCAUAGAUAUCGCGCAGAACUCCGAUUGCGAAGGCAGCAUGCCGGCUCCACACUGACGCUGAGGCACGAAAGCGUGGGUAUCGAACAGGAUUAGAUACCCUAGUAGUC
RNAcentral lists this ribosomal RNA (459 nucleotides) under uncultured bacterium. RNAcentral's name for it is "partial 16S ribosomal RNA". It matches the Rfam family "Bacterial small subunit ribosomal RNA", at positions 338 to 795 of the family's 1533-position model. The record is from RNAcentral.